Molecule: ribosomal RNA, 253 nt
Filed under: uncultured bacterium
Lineage: Bacteria
Description: partial 16S ribosomal RNA
Rfam family: Bacterial small subunit ribosomal RNA
Source: RNAcentral
UACGAGGGGGGCAAGCGUUGUUCGGAUUUAUUGGGCGUAAAGGGUGCGUAGGCGGUUUGGCAAGUUUGGUGUGAAAUCUUCGGGCUCAACUCGAAGUCUGCAUCAAAAACUGCCGGGCUUGAGUAUGGGAGAGGUGAGUGGAAUUUCCGGUGUAGCGGUGAAAUGCGUAGAUAUCGGAAGGAACACCUGUGGCGAAAGCGGCUCGCUGGACCAUAACUGACGCUGAGGCACGAAAGCUAGGGGAGCAAACAGG